This 660-nucleotide long non-coding RNA is filed under the name Volvox carteri. RNAcentral's name for it is "long non-coding RNA (VCAR_LNC000683)". Lineage: Eukaryota; Viridiplantae; Chlorophyta; Chlorophyceae; Chlamydomonadales; Volvocaceae. The record is from RNAcentral.
GGGGCCGCGUGGACAUCUGUGCGAUUGCUGCACCAGCGGCGCCCGCUCCUGGCAGCAGCAGCAGCUCUCCUGCUGGCGGCAGCAUAUCCAGCACCACUGCUGCAGGUGUGCCGCGCAUCAACAUCGGCGUGUUCGGUAUCAUGAACGCAGGUAAGAGCGAGCAAAGAUAUCCCCCGAGGCCGUCUUAUUGCAACAUGGAGGCGUCUGUAUUGUUUAUAUCUCUGUAUUGUAUAUAGGGUCUAGCAAACUAGGCCCUAUAAGCAAUACUGGAUUGUCAAUCAAUACCCACAUCCCGGUAUCCACAACGCGCCUCGUACCCGUGGCUGCCAGCUCCCCUCCUUCUAUCUGGCCUGGACCCUUCCGUGAUAUCCUUUACCUCCCUCCCGUGCUCCCUACUCGGCCUCCUUCCCUUUGAAACCGCCUUCCUAUCACCCCUCUUUCUACCCUCAGAUAGUUCCCUACCUACCUACCCUGCUGCGCCGGUCCCCCUCUUCCCCCCUUUUCAGGCAAGUCCAGUCUUGUGAACGCGCUGGCCCAGCAGGAGGCGUGUAUCGUGGACUCCCACCCCGGCACCACCGCGGACGUCAAGACGGUGUUGCUGGAGCUGCACGACCUGGGCCCGGCCAAGCUGCUGGACACGGCGGGGCUGGACGAGGAGGG